This 101-nucleotide non-coding RNA is filed under the name Desulfobacter sp. Its description in RNAcentral is "Desulfitibacter sp. Guanine sequence". It matches the Rfam family "Purine riboswitch aptamer". From Rfam's summary of the family: Riboswitches are metabolite binding domains within certain messenger RNAs that serve as precision sensors for their corresponding targets. The record is from RNAcentral. Lineage: Bacteria; Pseudomonadati; Thermodesulfobacteriota; Desulfobacteria; Desulfobacterales; Desulfobacteraceae.
UAUAAAUAUGUUUUUGAUUUUCGUAUAAUCCCAAUAAUAUGGUUUGGGAGUUUCUACCGGGAACCAUAAAUAACCCGACUACGGAGGAUUAUUUCCUUCGU